UGUUAAUAUCUCCAGACUAAUGCUGAGUCGCCUCUUUUCGCCCCCACUUAUUCCUCUCAAAUGCCAGUUUCCAAUCUUUUUGUCAGCACAAUCCUGCAAUCCCAUCUUCAUCAUUGUGUUUUGUACUACUGCGUUGAUUUCAUUUUUUGUAAAUGUUGUAGGAAGCCUCAACUUAGCUGAGUAAGUGAGGGUUUCUCUGACACUGAGAGUCCCCAAGAGAAAAUCCUCUUGUGUGACAUAAGAAAUUUUUCUGCAGCCUAUGCUCCUCUGCUUCCCAUUCAGCAAAACAUUUCCAGUCAUUGUUACAUUGGGUGAAAGCCUCCCUGUCAGUGAAAUGCUCAAAGUAUUACUUGACAAAUUAAAGAAGGGAACUGCUAAUUCUAAAAUGCAAUUUUAAAGAAUUUACAUUAAUGGGAUGAAAUUAAGCCCAAGUUUUCCAUGCAUUCAAGAAGCAAACUUCACAAUGAAAGAAACAAUUCAGUAGCUUGUUCUAUGGCAUCAGGAAAUUCAUAGGCAUAAUUUUUUAUCUUCAUGGUUGAUUUAGGAAAACAGCAAAAAUGAUCAAAUACUUACACUGGGCACAAGAGUUUCUACUUGUAACAGGUGUUGUGCACAGAACAAACUCAAUUAACAGAAUACUAAUCCAAUAAUGUCAACAAAAAUUUAGUUGAACCAUAAAUGAUUCACAAGCACUCUUUGAGCCCUACUUAGCUUAGCUUAAGAAUUUCUCUAAAUAUAUGUAGUGCCAUA
RNAcentral lists this unclassified non-coding RNA (750 nucleotides) under Hevea brasiliensis (rubber tree). The record is from RNAcentral. Lineage: Eukaryota; Viridiplantae; Streptophyta; Magnoliopsida; Malpighiales; Euphorbiaceae.